AAAUUCACCCGAAAACAAAUUUUUGUUAAGAAAUGAAGGAAGGAUACCACAUAUAUAAUGAAUCAACUACUGAAAUUGAAAUCACAAACAAAAUAAAGGAAAGGAGACGAAUGUGUUGUGUAAUCGUGUAAAGGAAAAGAAAUUUUACAAGUAUUAAAUACAACUGUUUUUAAUUAUUCUCAUUAAUUGACUUAUUUUUAACUUUAAUUGAGAGAAUCCAUUUAUUUAUUGC
This 232-nucleotide long non-coding RNA is filed under the name Medicago truncatula (barrel medic). Its description in RNAcentral is "long non-coding RNA (MTRU_LNC006483)". Lineage: Eukaryota; Viridiplantae; Streptophyta; Magnoliopsida; Fabales; Fabaceae. The record is from RNAcentral.